RNAcentral lists this ribosomal RNA (388 nucleotides) under uncultured bacterium. Its description in RNAcentral is "bacterial SSU rRNA". It matches the Rfam family "Bacterial small subunit ribosomal RNA", at positions 28 to 417 of the family's 1533-position model. The record is from RNAcentral.
GAUGAACGCUAGCGGCAGGCCUAACACAUGCAAGUCGAGGGGCAGCACGUCUUCGGAUGGUGGCGACCGGCGCACGGGUGCGUAACGCGUAUGCAACCUACCUCUUACAGUGGGAUAGCCCAGAGAAAUUUGGAUUAAUACCGCAUAGUAUACAGAUUCAGCAUUGGGACUGUAUUAAACAUUUAUGGGUAAGAGAUGGGCAUGCGUUCUAUUAGUUAGUUGGAGUGGUAACGGCACCCCAAGACAGCGAUAGAUAGGGGCCCUGAGAGGGGGAUCCCCCACACUGGUACUGAGACACGGACCAGACUCCUACGGGAGGCAGCAGUGGGGAAUUUUGGACAAUGGGCGCAAGCCUGAUCCAGCCAUGCCGCGUGAGUGAAGAAGGCCU